Molecule: long non-coding RNA, 245 nt
Filed under: Elaeis guineensis (African oil palm)
Lineage: Eukaryota; Viridiplantae; Streptophyta; Magnoliopsida; Arecales; Arecaceae
Description: long non-coding RNA (EGUI_LNC077084)
Source: RNAcentral
GUGUUAUACGUUCGAGAAUCGUCCAAAAAAUUAAUAAUUUAAAAAUAUAUAUUCUAAAGAGUUUAGACUUAAGACAUAUAUAAUUAAUUCUUAAAUUACUUCUAAUCAAUUGAUCAUCAUGCAGAUGGUGAUUGAUCCGGUUAGAUCGGCACGCGGAUCCCUUCCUUUAGGAUAAACGAGUCUCAAGUCUACAAUAUGGAGAUACUGAGCAAGAGUGUAGGUGAUUGUUAGAGAACAUCGGCACU